GUCCCCGCCCCCCUGUGCCCCCCCUCCUCCACCCCUCCCCGCCCCGCGCCCCCGCUGCAGGCUCCCGCGCCUGGCCGUGUCGGGGCGGGCGCGGGCACCUGCGCGCGCGCGCGCGCGCGUCUCCAGCAUCCGCCCCUGCCCUCGCCUCUCCCCCCUCCCCCCAUCAAACCACCCCCCUCCGCGACGAUCGCGUCUGAAGGCCUCGGCUGCUGCUCCCCCGGCCCCCCCGCCGCGGCUGCACCUUCUGAGCCACCCCCUGGUGCUUCCCGGAGCACCCACCGUGGGAAUCAACUCUCAGCCAGUGAAGGAAACUGGAUAUGGUCGAAUUACUUGGAGCUUCCUUGGAAAGCACCAGAAGCAGCCUCAAGAAGAAGAGAAAGCGCCUAAUAAAGUCUUCUUUGCUCGC
Long non-coding RNA from Sorex araneus (European shrew), 406 nucleotides. RefSeq lists it as uncharacterized. Lineage: Eukaryota; Metazoa; Chordata; Mammalia; Eulipotyphla; Soricidae. The transcript has 2 exons. The record is from RefSeq and is a predicted model, not a curated record.